GACGAACCGAGCGAACGUUGUUCGGAAUAACUGGGCUUAAAGGGCGCGUAGGCGGGCCGCCAAGUUCGAGGUGAAAUCCUCCGGCUCAACCGGAGAACUGCCUCGAAUACUGGAGGUCUCGAGGGUGGUAGGGGCAUGCGGAACUGUGGGUGGAGCGGUGAAAUGCGUUGAUAUCCACAGGAACUCCGGUGGCGAAGGCGGCAUGCUGGACCACAUCUGACGCUGAGGCGCGAAAGCCAGGGGAGCAAAC
This 250-nucleotide ribosomal RNA is filed under the name uncultured bacterium. Its description in RNAcentral is "partial 16S ribosomal RNA". It matches the Rfam family "Bacterial small subunit ribosomal RNA", at positions 524 to 773 of the family's 1533-position model. The record is from RNAcentral.